CACAGCAAUCGAGGGAAGUGAGUGUUGGAAACUCAACUCUGAUAUUUUUAGUCAGAGUAUUUUAGUGUUACACACAACCAAUUUAUUCUUUUAUAAUUCGUCCAAGGCUGCAGCUAGACUGCCGAAAGCUUGUUUAACAAUCAAUGAAUGUUUGACCGCAUUAUCGAAAAUCCUGAUAUCGGAUGACGCAUUUUUUCCUAAAAAAUGUUAAAUAGUUCGCUAUCAUGGCCAAUUUGAUUUGUACAGGUCCCGGUCGUAUUUUAGUGAAUUGAAAUUGAAAGAAUCCAGUUUAUUUAUUUCACACGCCAUGUUGAGACUUAAGAGGAAGUUACCUUUAGCUAAAAUUUACGUACAUGCUAUUAUCAUUGGUUAUGUUAUUUUUGAUUACUCGAUCGUUCCUUUGAUAGCGACAAGCAAUGAGAUGGGGAGUAACUAAAAGAAAACAAGGAUUCUUUGUUUGAUGUUUAAUUACAGAUUGGCCACGUCGUAACCCACUUGUAGUCCCCAAACAUAUAGGCCAUGGACCUACUUCGAAAAUUGUGAUUUUUUCAUGCGUCCAUCGAGGAAGAAAAGAAUUUUUUAACCAUCAUUGAUCUUGCUGCUGUUAUAGUACUUAUAUAUAUAUAUAUCAACUCUAGCAUGUAUGUCAAUAGUAUAACUUGCAAAGUAAUAAGAAAACCGAUUAGUUUAUCUUGAGUUAAUGGUCAGGUGAAAUCAAUAUAAUGUUUUUACGUCGUAGCCAAUCAAAGCAAAGAAAGUCUUGCCCUCAACCAAUUACGUAGCGUCGGGGUGAAAGGUCUUUCAGUACACUUGGUACACAAUGGCGAACAACAAGGCUUGCUGAAGUUUCUCACUCGGAUGACGAGUUUAUUGCGUUAUGCAUAUCAAAAAUAGUGCUAACUCAAAAUUAAAAUCAUUUGCACUUGCUUGUUGGUGUAUAUUUACUUUUUUUACUGCUAAAUGGAGAAAACUUUCAUGAUAUAAGGCGAAAUGGCGCAGGAACAGCUUCAACUUCUGGGGCUAAUUGACGACCAUUACGUUGACAAUUUGUCUUUCGCUGAAAGUGUUAGCUCUUCAGAGCGUUUCGUACCCAUACCAGCGCUCUGCAAAUUCCAUUGCAAUCGCUAAAGUCGGUUUUUCAUUGUCCAAAUGCAGUGAAGAAAACAGAACAGGCAAAUAAGAAUGAGAGAAAGAAAAACAAGACGAUCAACAUAAGGACUUUUCAGUUUUGGAGACUUGUAAUUCAGUAUAUGUGAGAUUAUUUGGUACCAGUUGAAUUUCAAAGAUACAUUUCUUUUCACUUUGAAUUUAUUACUUGAAAUUUACUUCAAAUACUACACUCAGAGUAGUUGUGAUUCUACGUUGCGUUUUUUUGUUUCGAUAAGAUAAGAAAUGCAUAUAUAUUGUGUGAAUUAUUUUACAAUGUUGCUUCAAACUAACUAGAGCAAUUUGUCAUUUCAAUAUUAAACUAUAAUUUUUAUAGAUGGUAUCUGA
Molecule: long non-coding RNA, 1494 nt
Organism: Xenia sp. Carnegie-2017
Lineage: Eukaryota; Metazoa; Cnidaria; Anthozoa; Malacalcyonacea; Xeniidae
Exons: 2
Source: RefSeq, a predicted model, not a curated record